CCAGACUCCUACGGGAGGCAGCAGUGAGGAAUAUUGGUCAAUGGGCGCGAGCCUGAACCAGCCAAGUCGCGUGAGGGAUGACGGCCCUACGGGUUGUAAACCUCUUUUGUCGGGGAGCAAAAGACGCCACGCGUGGCGUUCCGAGAGUACCCGAAGAAAAAGCAUCGGCUAACUCCGUGCCAGCAGCCGCGGUAAUACGGAGGAUGCGAGCGUUAUCCGGAUUUAUUGGGUUUAAAGGGUGCGUAGGCGGGCUGUUAAGUCAACGGUCAAAUGUCGGGGCUCAACCCCGGCCUGCCGUUGAAACUGGCGGCCUCGAGUGGGCGAGAAGUAUGCGGAAUGCGUGGUGUAGCGGUGAAAUGCAUAGAUAUCACGCAGAACUCCGAUUGCGAAGGCAGCAUACCGGCGCCCGACUGACGCUGAGGCACGAAAGCGUGGGUAUCGAACAGGAUUAGAUACCCGCGUA
Molecule: ribosomal RNA, 463 nt
Filed under: uncultured bacterium
Lineage: Bacteria
Description: bacterial SSU rRNA
Rfam family: Bacterial small subunit ribosomal RNA
Source: RNAcentral